UGAGGAAUAUUGGUCAAUGGGCGAGAGCCUGAACCAGCCACGUCGCGUGAAGGAAGCCUGACCUUACGGUUUGUAAACUUCUUUUGUAGAGGGGUAAUGGCAGAUACGUGUAUUUGCGUGAAAGUACUCUACGAAUAAGCAUCGGCUAACUCCGUGCCAGCAGCCGCGGUAAUACGGGGGAUGCGAGCGUUAUCCGGAAUUAUUGGGUUUAAAGGGUGCGCAGGUGGCUAAUCAGGUCAGUGGUGAAAAGCUAUGGCUCAACCAUGGUCUUGCCAUUGAAACCGUAUAGCUAGAGAGGAGACGAGGUAGGCGGAAUGUGUGGUGUAGCGGUGAAAUGCAUAGAUAUCACACAGAACUCCGAUUGCGAAGGCAGCUUACCAGGCUUUAUCUGACACUUAGGCACGACAGCGUGGGGAUCAAACAGG
RNAcentral lists this ribosomal RNA (425 nucleotides) under Verrucomicrobiota bacterium. RNAcentral describes it as "Verrucomicrobia bacterium partial 16S ribosomal RNA". It matches the Rfam family "Bacterial small subunit ribosomal RNA", at positions 355 to 776 of the family's 1533-position model. Lineage: Bacteria; Pseudomonadati; Verrucomicrobiota. The record is from RNAcentral.